RNAcentral lists this ribosomal RNA (254 nucleotides) under uncultured bacterium. RNAcentral describes it as "partial 16S ribosomal RNA". It matches the Rfam family "Bacterial small subunit ribosomal RNA", at positions 524 to 776 of the family's 1533-position model. The record is from RNAcentral.
UACGAAGGGUGCAAACGUUGCUCGGAAUUAUUGGGCGUAAAGCGCACGUAGGCGGCUUAGUAAGUCGGGUGUGAAACCUCCAGGCUCAACCUGGAGACGCCACCCGAUACUGCUGUGGCUAGAGUCCGGUAGGGGAGCGUGGAAUUCCUGGUGUAGCGGUGAAAUGCGCAGAUAUCAGGAGGAACACCAGCGGCGAAGGCGGCGCUCUGGGCCGGAACUGACGCUGAGGAGCGAAAGCGUGGGGAGCAAACAGG